RNAcentral lists this ribosomal RNA (427 nucleotides) under uncultured bacterium. RNAcentral describes it as "partial 16S ribosomal RNA". It matches the Rfam family "Bacterial small subunit ribosomal RNA", at positions 355 to 774 of the family's 1533-position model. The record is from RNAcentral.
UGGGGAAUAUUGCACAAUGGGCGCAAGCCUGAUGCAGCCAUGCCGCGUGUAUGAAGAAGGCCUUCGGGUUGUAAAGUACUUUCAGCGAGGAGGAAGGCGUUGUGGUUAAUAACCGCAGCGAUUGACGUUACUCGCAGAAGAAGCACCGGCUAACUCCGUGCCAGCAGCCGCGGUAAUACGGAGGGUGCAAGCGUUAAUCGGAAUUACUGGGCGUAAAGCGCACGCAGGCGGUCUGUCAAGUCGGAUGUGAAAGCGCCGGGCUCAACCUGGGAACUGCAUCCGAAACUGGCAGGCUGGAGUCUUGUAGAGGGGGGUAGAAUUCCAGGUGUAGCGGUGAAAUGCGUAGAGAUCUGGAGGAAUACCGGUGGCGAAGGCGGCCCCCUGGACAAAGACUGACGCUCAGGUGCGAAAGCGUGGGGAGCAAACA